RNAcentral lists this ribosomal RNA (440 nucleotides) under uncultured bacterium. RNAcentral describes it as "partial 16S ribosomal RNA". It matches the Rfam family "Bacterial small subunit ribosomal RNA", at positions 338 to 795 of the family's 1533-position model. The record is from RNAcentral.
CCUACGGGUGGCAGCAGUGGGGAAUAUUGCACAAUGGGGGGAACCCUGAUGCAGCGACGCCGCGUGAGUGAAGAAGUAUUUCGGUAUGUAAAGCUCUAUCAGCAGGGAAGAAAAUGACGGUACCUGACUAAGAAGCACCGGCUAACUACGUGCCAGCAGCCGAGGUAAUACGUAGGGGGCAAGCGUUAUCCGGAUUUACUGGGGGUAAGGGGAGCGCAGACGGCGGUGCAAGUCUGGAGUGAAAGGCGGGGGCCCAACCCCCGGACGGCUCUGGAAACUGUAAAGCUGGAGUGCAGGAGAGGUAAGCGGAAUUCCUAGUGUAGCGGUGAAAUGCGUAGAUAUUAGGAGGAACACCAGUGGCGAAGGCGGCUUACUGGACUGCAACUGACGUUGAGGCUCGAAAGCGUGGGGAGCAAACAGGAUUAGAUACCCGGGUAGUC